This 1335-nucleotide ribosomal RNA is filed under the name uncultured bacterium. RNAcentral describes it as "bacterial SSU rRNA". It matches the Rfam family "Bacterial small subunit ribosomal RNA", at positions 27 to 1381 of the family's 1533-position model. The record is from RNAcentral.
GGAUGAACGCUGGCGGCGUGCCUCAAACAUGCAAGUCGAGCGAGGCUAUGAGUUACCGCAAGGUAAGGCAUAGCCUAGCGGCGAACGGGUGAGUAACACGUGGGUAACCUACCUGGAAGACAGGGAUAACGAUUCGAAAGGGUCGCUAAUACCUGAUAAUAUCCGUCUGCCGGAUGGCGGAGGGAAGAAAGGGGAAACCCGCUUUCAGAUGGGCCCGCGUCCCAUCAGCUAGUUGGUAAGGUAAUGGCUUACCAAGGCGAUGACGGGUAGGGGACCUGAGAGGGUGGCCCCCCACAAUGGAACUGAAACACGGUCCAUACACCUACGGGUGGCAGCAGUAGGGAAUAUUAGUAAUGGGCGAAAGCCUGAACUAGCAACGCCGCGUGUGCGAAGAAGGCCUUCGGGUCGUAAAGCACUUUUUGAGAGGAUGAGGAAGGACGGUACUCUCAGAAUAAGUCUCGGCUAACUACGUGCCAGCAGCCGCGGUAACACGUAGGAGGCAAACGUUAUCCGGAUUUACUGGGCGUAAAGCGCGUGUAGGUGGUUUGGUAAGUAGGGCGUGAAAGCUCCUGGCUCAACUGGGAGAGGACGUUCUAAACUGCCAAGCUUGAGGAUGGUAGAGGGAGGUGGAAUUCCGGGUGUAGCGGUGGAAUGCGCAGAUAUCCGGAGGAACACCAGUGGCGAAGGCGGCCUCCUGGACCACUCCUGACACUCAGACGCGAAAGCUAGGGUAGCAAACGGGAUUAGAGACCCCGGUAGUCCUAGCCCUAAACGAUGUAGACUUGGCGUCGGUGGUUUAAUCGCCAUCGGUGUCGUAGCUAACGCGAUAAGUCUACCGCCUGGGGACUACGGCCGCAAGGUUAAAACUCAAAGGAAUUGACGGGUCCCCGCACAAGCAGCGGAGCGUGUGGUUUAAUUCGAUGCUACACGAAGAACCUUACCUGGGUUUGACAUAGAGGUAGUAGGGAAGCGAAAGCGGACCGACCCUUCGGGGAGCCUCUACAGGUGUUGCAUGGCUGUCGUCAGCUCGUGUCGUGAGAUGUUCGGUUAAGUCCGCUAACGAGCGCAACCCUCGCUGUGUGUUACAAGUGUCACACGGUACUGCCGAUACUAAGUCGGAGGAAGGUGGGGAUGACGUCAAGUCAGCAUGACCUUUAUAUCCAGGGCUACACACACGCUACAAUGGCCAGUACAAUGGGUUGCCAAGCCGCGAGGCGGAGCCAAUCCUAAAAAGCUGGCCUCAGUUCAGAUUGCAGUCUGCAACUCGACUGCAUGAAGUUGGAGUUGCUAGUAACCGCAGGUCAGCAAUACUGCGGUGAAUACGUUCCCGGGGAU